Molecule: unclassified non-coding RNA, 305 nt
Filed under: plant metagenome
Description: partial contains 5.8S ribosomal RNA, internal transcribed spacer 2, and large subunit ribosomal RNA
Rfam family: 5.8S ribosomal RNA (bases 1-105)
Source: RNAcentral
GAAAUGCGAUAAGUAGUGUGAAUUGCAGAAUUCAGUGAAUCAUCGAAUCUUUGAACACACAUUGCGCCCCUUGGUAUUCCAUGGGGCAUGCCUGUUCGAGCGUCAUCUACACCCUCAAGCUCUGCUUGGUGUUGGGCGUCUGUCCCGCCCCCGCGCGUGGACUCGCCCCAAAUCCAUUGGCAGCGUUCCUUGCCCCCUCUCGCGCAGCACAUUGCGCUUCUCGAGGGCGGCUCCGGGACGCGAUCCAGCAAGAUGACCACCGUCUUUGACCUCGGAUCAGGUAGGGAUACCCGCUGAACUUAAGC